This 282-nucleotide unclassified non-coding RNA is filed under the name Glomeromycota sp. Its description in RNAcentral is "partial contains 5.8S ribosomal RNA and internal transcribed spacer 2". The stretch from base 1 to 65 matches the Rfam family "5.8S ribosomal RNA", at positions 84 to 154 of the family's 154-position model. Lineage: Eukaryota; Fungi; Glomeromycota. The record is from RNAcentral.
GUGAAUCAUCGAAUUUUUGAACGCAAAUUGCACUCUCCUCGGAGAGUAUGCCUGUUUGAGGGCCAGCCUAUAAACAAUCGACAUCGUUGCCGUUUCUCGGUGACGUUCGUCGGAAAUUGGCCCAUCUUAAAUCUUUUUGGUUUUAUGUGACUUAAAAAUUUCUUUUUUGUCCCAUGUGCGUUUCUACGAUUUAUUUCUUUACAAGUUCACGGUAUCGAUUUUUAUUAGUCGUGACCAUCAUGAAGGACCGCGUACAUAAUCCUUAAUCAUCUGACUUCAGCC